GUGCAAGCGUUAUCCGGAUUUACUGGGUGUAAAGGGAGCGCAGGCGGUGCGGCAAGUCUGAUGUGAAAGCCCGGGGCUCAACCCCGGGACUGCAUUGGAAACUACCGAACUAGAGUGUCGGAGAGGUAAGUGGAAUUCCUAGUGUAGCGGUGAAAUGCGUAGAUAUUAGGAGGAACACCAGUGGCGAAGGCGGCUUACUGGACGAUAACUGACGCUGAGGUUCGAAAGCGUGGGUAGCAAACAG
This 244-nucleotide ribosomal RNA is filed under the name uncultured bacterium. RNAcentral describes it as "partial 16S ribosomal RNA". It matches the Rfam family "Bacterial small subunit ribosomal RNA", at positions 532 to 775 of the family's 1533-position model. The record is from RNAcentral.